CUAAGUUUGAUGGCGACCGGCGCACGGGUGAGUAACACGUAUCCAACCUGCCGAUGACUCGGGGAUAGCCUUUCGAAAGAAAGAUUAAUACCCGAUGGCAUAGUUCUUCCGCAUGGUAGAACUAUUAAAGAAUUUCGGUCAUCGAUGGGGAUGCGUUCCAUUAGGUUGUUGGCGGGGUAACGGCCCACCAAGCCUUCGAUGGAUAGGGGUUCUGAGAGGAAGGUCCCCCACAUUGGAACUGAGACACGGUCCAACUCCUACGGGAGGCAGCAUG
This 274-nucleotide ribosomal RNA is filed under the name uncultured bacterium. Its description in RNAcentral is "partial 16S ribosomal RNA". It matches the Rfam family "Bacterial small subunit ribosomal RNA", at positions 79 to 353 of the family's 1533-position model. The record is from RNAcentral.